Molecule: long non-coding RNA, 538 nt
Filed under: Ananas comosus (pineapple)
Lineage: Eukaryota; Viridiplantae; Streptophyta; Magnoliopsida; Poales; Bromeliaceae
Description: long non-coding RNA (ACOM_LNC022380)
Source: RNAcentral
UACCCAAUCGAUGAUCAGUCGAUUAUAAUCGAAGUUCAACUCUCGUAUUUCGAAAAUUCACUUCCUUACAAAUCUCCUUCUUCUGCUUUGUCGUCAAAGAAUCAGACAUCUUUUCUUUUCCCAACAGUACCUUCUAAUCUCCUUCUUCUGCUUUGCCGUCAAAGAAUCAGACAUCUUUUCUUUUCCCAACAGUACCUUCUGCAAUCCUUGCUGCGUCAAUACAGCACGCAUCUUGACUUGUCAUAAUGCGAAAUUGUUAGUCCUGUCAAAUUUCUGAAUCUCGAACUUCGUCGUCAUCUUAAUCCUCAAAGGGAAUAGAAAGGCUCUGAUACUAGUUUGUUAAAAUCGAAACGACGAAAAUUAGAUCCAGAAAAUAAUUUAAUGCAUGAAACGAAAAGAUAAGAAAAAAGCACAUCGAUAUUUGCAUGGUUCGGUCAACGGCCUACGUCUACAGACAAAAACGGAGCAAAUAAUUUAUUAAUGUCAAUACAAGAGAAUCUCUCAAAGACCAAAACUUAAUUAGAUUGGAAACGCCGCA